CUUGGUUCUAACAACCACACAACUUGAAAGCAGUGAGAAAUGGCCAGUGCUGCCCUCUGAGAGGGAAGAUACUCCAUCCCGUAGAAGGGACCUUUAGGCUCCCUCCCGCUCUACCGCACCUCCAGGGGAUGGGCGGGCUGCUGGGCUCACCCUGUCGGCCUGCUUUUGCUGUGCGGAGACGGCAGAGAGCGUCCGCUCCAGCUCUCCCACGCGCUGCCUGGAAGACUGCAGGCGGUUAGCGAGAUCCUCCGACUCUCCUGAAACAACAGUUAGAAGUGAAGCCCAAGAAGGAAUCCCACUGAAGGCCUGCCAGCACGCCUGGCUGAAGGGAAGAGAGAAGAAACAGCUCUUACUGGGAGAAGGGAGAGAUGGAACAGCAAAGGACAUGCCCCCAGAAUGCCACCACUGGCCCAGGACAGGCCCACCAAUGAGAACAGGUCCUUUCUGGGAAAGGAGCUAUCCACCAAGAACCCUCUCCCUGCUCCUAGAGGUAAAAAGAAAACCAUGGCCACUGCCCUACCCUAACCUCCUAGCUCCAAACACCCACCCAAGAAACAAGCUGAGAAACCAGAGGUAAGAUGUCUACCCUCUGACUCUCAGCAUCCUGGGAAACAAUCGUGGGAUUGAGGACCAGGAGCCAUGGAGACACUCCCUCUUCCCUGAAUGGACCCACUUGCUGGCCAGAGCCCCACUCGGCUUCUCUCCAGGCUCAGGCCUGACACUCAGUCCUAGCCUCCGGCUCUAAAGAUUUAAUGUUCAACAGGACAGAUGGGCAAAGAGAUGGGGAAGAGGGUUGAUAAGCUAAAGACUGACGAGGGAAGAGCGCUAGGGAGCCAAGGCCUGGCCAGCAAAGCUAGGUCCAGAAGAAGAGGCUGCACCUCUCCUGCGGGAAAGAGCUGCCUGCUCUCUGGACCCCUCAAUCCUGGCCUCUGGAAACCCAAAUCCACUGCCCUCUUUAGAGCAACUGUUAUGGAACCUGGAGGAGCUGAAGAUAAAUCAAGCUGUUUGUGUGGUUACUGUCCAUGCUGUGACCUUUGACCCUGGAACCUGGUGUUGCCUUGCCAACCUGUACCACUGAACCUAACCAGCUGGCUAGGCAUGAGACUUCAGGGGAGUGGAGCACACUCUUAGCCAUGGGCCCUGGUCAGAUGCCUGGGUCCCUCCUGGCAUCUUGGGUGCCCACUGAUCCCUAGCAUUAGAAACAAGAAAGCUCAGAAGGGGAAAAAAGUAUUUUUCUGAGGACUUAAAUAUACAUAACAUGCCUAUUCUGUGAGCAACCAACUUAUUUCAUAAUUUUGAGUCAUAAAGCUAAGUAUGGCAUUUUAAAAAUCACUGUCCAUUCCCCUCAAAUGCCUCAUUCCAUUAAAAAAAAUUUUUUUU
Vicugna pacos (alpaca) is the source of this 1380-nucleotide non-coding RNA. The record is from RefSeq and is a predicted model, not a curated record. NCBI's taxonomy places the organism in Eukaryota, Metazoa, Chordata, Mammalia, Artiodactyla, Camelidae.